AACGAACGCUGGCGGCGUGCCUAACACAUGCAAGUCGAGCGAGAAAGUCCGCAAGGAUGAGUAAAGCGGCAAACGGGUGAGCAACACGUGAGUAAUCUCCCUUCGAGUUUGGAAUAACCAGCCGAAAGGCUGGCUAAUACCGAAUAACAUCCCCCGGUUCUUCCGGGUGAUCAAAGUAUGCCUCUAUUUAUACGCAUACGCUGGAAGAUGAGCUCGCGUACCAUUAGCUAGUCGGCGGGGUAAUGGCCCACCAAGGCUACGAUGGUUAGCUGGUCUGAGAGGAUGGCCAGCCACACCGGAAUUGAGAAACGGUCCGGACUCCUACGGGAGGCAGCAGUGAGGAAUAUUGCGCAAUGGGCGAAAGCCUGACGCAGCGACGCCGCGUGGAGGAUGAAGGCUUUCGGGUUGUAAACUCCUUUCGGGCGGAACGAAUCCCCGACGGAUGAAUAAGCCGUCGGGUUGACGGUACCGCAGGAAGAAGCCCCGGCUAACUCUGUGCCAGCAGCCGCGGUAA
This 514-nucleotide ribosomal RNA is filed under the name uncultured bacterium. RNAcentral's name for it is "partial 16S ribosomal RNA". It matches the Rfam family "Bacterial small subunit ribosomal RNA", at positions 29 to 523 of the family's 1533-position model. The record is from RNAcentral.